GACGAACGCUGGCGGCGUGCUUAACACAUGCAAGUCGAACGGAAAGGCCUGCUUUCCCUUGUGGAUUGCGGGUACUCGAGUGGCGAACGGGUGAGUAACACGUGAGUGAUCUGCCCCCAACUUGGGUAUAAGCCUGGGAAACUGGGUCUAAUUCCCGAUAGGACUGCAGGGUGGUGCCUGUGGUGGAAAACGAUUUUCUAGUGGUUGGGGAUGAGCUCGCGGCCUAUCAGCUUGUUGGUGGGGUAAUGGCCUACCAAGGCGGCGACGGGUAGCCGGCCUGAGAGGGUGGACGGUCACAUUGGGACUGAGAUACGGCCCAGACUCCUACGGGAGGCAGCAGUGGGGAAUAUUGCACAAUGGGCGGAAGCCUGACGCAGCGACGCCGCGUGGGGGACGACGGCCUUCGGGUUGUAAACUCCUUUCGACCGCGAGGAAGCCACCUGGUUGGAAGGGUGGUGACGGUAGUGGUAGAAGAAGCACCGGCUAACUACGUG
Molecule: ribosomal RNA, 494 nt
Filed under: uncultured bacterium
Lineage: Bacteria
Description: partial 16S ribosomal RNA
Rfam family: Bacterial small subunit ribosomal RNA
Source: RNAcentral